AUGGUCCAGGAAGGAAGGCAGGCGGCAUAUUCCGUGGAUAUUUGCUUGGGAGAGGAAAGAAAGACGGACCCCCAUGCCAUUCCAUUCAACUCAAUCCAACUAACUUGGAAGGAACGCGCAGCUCAGAGUCAGAGGAGGGGGCCGGGUCUGGGUCAGGGUCCGGUCAGAGGCCAGCGACGGCGCCGUCGCCCUCCCUCGAUUCCCUUCAAACCUGGCCGCCGCCCCCAAUUUCCUUCCCCUCCCCUCAAAUUUGGCCGCCUCCCCUAUUUUUAUCCCCUCCUCCCCAGAUUGCUCGUUCGCUCCUUGUAUAUCCCACAAGAAGAAGAGACGGAUUCCCCUGCAGCUGCAGGCAGAUUCAUCGUCCCCUUCCUUGCCUCCAUCCCUCCCUGGUACGUACCUCCCCUCCACCCUCCCUCCUUCUGGAUUGGAUUGGUUUGGAUCCCUUCUCCUCGCCGGAAUCGGCCGAAUCUCCUCCCCCUCCCGGCGUUUUCUGUGGUUUCGAUUUGGUUUCCGGCGCCCCUUCCCCGACCCCGACGCCGCUCGGCUCGAAUCAACUGCUUCCCGUUCCCGGAAGAAAUCUGGCUUCGUCUUCUUCUUCCUCCAGCUUUACUGGAAAAAGAUGAAGAUUUCCAGCAAUCCAGCUUGUCCAGCAAUGGCGGAGCACGCAAAAGCGAAAGCCAAAGCGUGUUUCUUUCUUUUCCCCUUCCUUUCCCCCAAUCCCUCCAAGCAACGUUGACGCCAGCGCGGGCUGCGUACGCACGCAAAUCUGUCUGUCUACCUUUCGCUGUCACCGCCCACCGUCCCCCCCUUCCAUCCCGUUCAACAAAAAUAAAUAAGAUAGCUUCACUUUUGUUUUCUCUUUUGCAACUCCUCCUUGUGCCUGCGGAUGCCACGGAGCAGACGACUCAGAUUACACCUUUUAUUUGA
RNAcentral lists this ribosomal RNA (927 nucleotides) under Triticum aestivum (bread wheat). RNAcentral describes it as "partial small subunit ribosomal RNA". Lineage: Eukaryota; Viridiplantae; Streptophyta; Magnoliopsida; Poales; Poaceae. The record is from RNAcentral.